Molecule: long non-coding RNA, 675 nt
Organism: Gordionus sp. m RMFG-2023
Lineage: Eukaryota; Metazoa; Nematomorpha; Gordioida; Chordodea; Parachordodidae
Exons: 3
Source: RefSeq, a predicted model, not a curated record
UUUUGUUAAUUUUUUUUUUUACAAUAUGAAAACCAUAAGUUUGUCCAAUACUUAUAGUCUAAUAAAAAACAAAGAAUAUGUGUUCACUGUAAUACCAAAUUUAACAUAUCGUCAGCAACAAGUACCUUAAGCAGACAUCUGAUAAAACAUGAAAUAUAUACACUUCUAAUGAUGAAAAUGAAAAUAUCUCCAAAAACACAAUCUACUCUUAAUUUAAAUAUGCCCUCCACAAGUACAAAAUCACUUUCUUCAAUACCAUUGGAUAAAUUCUAAACAGAUCAUAUGAACCAACUCAUUAUAAAAUGGGUAAAUGACAUAUUAGUAUGGUAGAAAGCCAAUAGUGAAAGAUUUCCAGUCCUCUCAUUAGCAGCUAGAAAUUUUAUAGCAAUUCAAGCAACAACUGUCCACUGUGAACAAAUAUUUUCGAAAGCAGGAAAUCUUGUCACUAAAAAAAGGAAUAGGCUUUCAAACAAAAUAAUACAAACUUUGAUGUGUAUGGGCUCUUGGUUAAAGAAUGGAAUAGAUCUACCGCCUCCAUUAAGUCCCUCUUCUAAUUCCUUCCAAGGAAGUUCUACAAACAAAGACAUUAGCAUUUAUUUAAAUUAAAUAUUUGUAUUAAUUAUUAUAUUAUUCAUAAUUAAUUUUAUAUUGUUUAUAUAAUACUCUUAUAUUUAA